ACCACCAAAGCAUUCUCUGGUGUUGAAGGCCCUGCAAAGCAGCAUCGCGGUGGCGGAGCGUCGUUUGCGACGCCCAACACACAAAACAAGCGGUGAGUGCUUUGGGGUGGGGUGACUGCGUACCUUUUGUAUAAUGGGUCAGCGACUUAUAUUCUGUAGCAAGGUUAACCGAAUAGGGGAGCCGGAGGGAAACCGAGUCUUAAUUGGGCGUUAAGUUGCAGGGUAUAGACCCGAAACCCGGUGAUCUAGCCAUGGGCAGGUUGAAGGUUGGGUAACACUAACUGGAGGACCGAACCGACUAAUGUUGAAAAAUUAGCGGAUGACCUGUGGCUGGGGGUGAAAGGCCAAUCAAACCGGGAGAUAGCUGGUUCUCCCCGAAAGCUAUUUAGGUAGCGCCUCGUGAAUUCAUCUCCGGGGGUAGAGCACUGUUUCGGCUAGGGGGCCAUCCCGGCUUACCAACCCGAUGCAAACUGCGAAUACCGGAGAAUGUUAUCACGGGAGACACACGGCGGGUGCUAACGUCCGUCGUGAAGAGGGAAACAACCCAGACCGCCAGCUAAGGUCCCAAAGUCAUGGUUAAGUGGGAAACGAUGUGGGAAGGCCCAGACAGCCAGGAUGUUGGCUUAGAAGCAGCCAUCAUUUAAAGAAAGCGUAAUAGCUCACUGGUCGAGUCGGCCUGCGCGGAAGAUGUAACGGGGCUAAACCAU
Molecule: ribosomal RNA, 707 nt
Filed under: Salmonella enterica
Lineage: Bacteria; Pseudomonadati; Pseudomonadota; Gammaproteobacteria; Enterobacterales; Enterobacteriaceae
Description: partial 23S ribosomal RNA
Rfam family: Bacterial large subunit ribosomal RNA (bases 86-707)
Source: RNAcentral